UUAUUUUUAGAUUCUCCAUAGACAUUAAGUUUUCUUCUUGUUGUUGGUUUUUUUUUGGAUUCUCCAUAGGAAAUUAUGAGAAAUCAUGCCUAAAACAUUUAAAAGCAUUUGUUGGAGCCCACCUAAGUUUUGAAAUAGCCUAAAAUCUGUUGUGACCCCUUAUCUAAGUCACAAUGAAUGGCCUAGAUGUAUAAACCACAUCUCGUUGGGUCCGCUAUACAAAAAAGAAAAAGAAAAAGAAGGUUUCAAUGGAUGUGCAUCCACUCUUAACCAUUGUUUAUGUUGUUGCUCACCUAAGUUGUGGAUUGGCCUCAUUUUUAAGCCCAUGGCUCACCAUGAAAGGGUAUAUCUAAUUCAUGGGAUAGAUGUCUUCAAAUUUUGAGGAUGUGUUGCAAGAAGAAAACCUUUACUUGAUUAUUGAGGUGACACUAGCACACUUCCUCUUCUCUGCCAUUAUUAUAUUAUGUCAAGCUCACCAAAGAUCGACAAAAGAAACUAGUCCUUUGCAAACAAUGGUAUAAAA
Molecule: long non-coding RNA, 523 nt
Organism: Magnolia sinica
Lineage: Eukaryota; Viridiplantae; Streptophyta; Magnoliopsida; Magnoliales; Magnoliaceae
Exons: 3
Source: RefSeq, a predicted model, not a curated record